This 722-nucleotide ribosomal RNA is filed under the name Aleiodes sp. BIOUG31437-A01. RNAcentral's name for it is "partial 28S ribosomal RNA". It matches the Rfam family "Eukaryotic large subunit ribosomal RNA", at positions 360 to 807 of the family's 3401-position model. The record is from RNAcentral. Lineage: Eukaryota; Metazoa; Arthropoda; Insecta; Hymenoptera; Braconidae.
AAAGUUGAAAAGAACUUUGAAGAGAGAGUUCAAGAGUACGUGAAACCGUUCAGGGGUAAACCUGAGAAACCCAAAAGAUCGAAUGGGGAGAUUCAUCGUCAGCUCAUUUUGUAUAUAUAUAUGUUGCGAUGUGAGUUACUACUUUGUAGUAUUGCUUGCACGUUCUUAUAUAUUUAAUUGCAAGAUGUUGUCGGCGUGCACUUCUCUCCUAGUAGGACGUCGCGACCCGUUGGAUGUCGGUUUACGGCUCAAGUGAUAGUCUUUAAUGUAAUUUAAAAAUCAUUUAAGAUCCUUGAUGUUUUCUAACCGGCUAUUCGGCGGUAUUAAUUAUGGUAUUUAGCCGCUAUAUAUAAAUAAUAAGCGUUCAUAACCGUCACAAGCGAGGCCAAUUUUUUUAUUACUGAUAGUAUGGACCUAGUUGCCAUCGUUAGUAUUGGCCAGCUGUUGGUUGUAUGGUUAUCUAGAACUGGCUAAAAUAAAUUACCGAUCAGCGAUGCUACUGCUUUGGGUACUUUCAGGACCCGUCUUGAAACACGGACCAAGGAGUCUAACAUGUACGCAAGUCAUUGGGAUUUUUUUUUAAAAAUUAAACCUAAAGGCAUAAUGAAAGUAAAGAUUGUCCUUGCGUCAAUCUAGGGAGGAUGAAUUAUAUUAUGAUAUUAUUCCGCACUCCCGGGGCGUCUCAUUCUUAUUAUAAGAAGAGGCGCACCUAGAGCGUACAC